ACGCUCGACACCUACGGGGAGGCGGCAGUGGGGAAGUAUUGCACAAUGGGGGAAACCCGUGAUGCAGCGACGCCGCGUGAGACGAAGAAGUUAUUUCGGUAUAGUAAAGCUUCUANACAGNAGGGAANAAGAAAGCGGUACNGACUAAGACGCCCCGCUAACGUACGUGCUAGCAGCCGACGGUAAUCGUGGACGGCGGGGCUGGGACAAGGC
RNAcentral lists this ribosomal RNA (213 nucleotides) under uncultured bacterium. RNAcentral's name for it is "partial 16S ribosomal RNA". It matches the Rfam family "Bacterial small subunit ribosomal RNA", at positions 328 to 538 of the family's 1533-position model. The record is from RNAcentral.